This 496-nucleotide ribosomal RNA is filed under the name uncultured bacterium. RNAcentral's name for it is "partial 16S ribosomal RNA". It matches the Rfam family "Bacterial small subunit ribosomal RNA", at positions 28 to 506 of the family's 1533-position model. The record is from RNAcentral.
GAUGAACGCUGGCGGCGUGCCUAAUACAUGCAAGUCGAGCGAACAGACGAGGAGCUUGCUCCUCUGACGUUAGCGGCGGACGGGUGAGUAACACGUGGAUAACCUACCUAUAAGACUGGGAUAACUUCGGGAAACCGGAGCUAAUACCGGAUAACAUGUUGAACCGCAUGGUUCAACAGUGAAAGACGGUCUUGCUGUCGCUUAUAGAUGGAUCCGCGCCGCAUUAGCUAGUUGGUAAGGUAACGGCUUACCAAGGCAACGAUGCGUAGCCGACCUGAGAGGGUGAUCGGCCACACUGGAACUGAGACACGGUCCAGACUCCUACGGGAGGCAGCAGUAGGGAAUCUUCCGCAAUGGGCGAAAGCCUGACGGAGCAACGCCGCGUGAGUGAAGAAGGUCUUCGGAUCGUAAAACUCUGUUAUUAGGGAAGAACAAAUGUGUAAGUAACUAUGCACGUCUUGACGGUACCUAAUCAGAAAGCCACGGCUAACUACAU